UUUAAUAAAAGGCAAACCAGUUGAAAAGCUGGGACUGCAAAGCUACAGAUUUAAGGUAGAUAAACUAGGAUGGCUGAGCCGCUGAA
Molecule: non-coding RNA, 86 nt
Filed under: Jeotgalibacillus campisalis
Lineage: Bacteria; Bacillati; Bacillota; Bacilli; Caryophanales; Caryophanaceae
Description: c-di-GMP sequence
Rfam family: c-di-GMP-I riboswitch aptamer
About the family: GEMM was predicted in a large-scale screen for bacterial structured RNA regulatory elements. Genes associated with GEMM are involved in a diverse array of functions, including chemotaxis regulation, signal transduction, secretion and chitin.
Source: Rfam by way of RNAcentral